UGAUUUCUUAGUGUUUCACCCACAUCUUUGUCUGAGAACGUUUUGUCUUUUGUAGUGUAACCCGCAAUUAGUAAAGGACUUUUAUUUUUGCGGGCCCACUUCCCGUGUUGCGCAAACUCUGCUAGCUUAUUUAAAGUCCCGCCUCCAGUGCGCAGUUAAAGAUCCUCACCUGUUUCCAUUUGCUGUUGGCGUCUUCCUCAACAAUUCCUCCAAAAAUAUUUAAAUCUACUGAUUUGAUUGCUGGAAUCACUGGCAUUGUUUACCUGGACCGUCAACGGGAUUCUGUUAGUGCUGAUUGUGGCUCAGUACGCCCCACUCUCUUCUAGAAGGUUGUUGUUUUUUUUCCCCUGUUGGAUCAGAUUCUCAUCUGGAUCGAAAGAUGGCGAGCUAGGAAUGGACUAUGGACUUUAUGAUUUGGAAAUCAAUUUACUCUGAGUCAAUUCUCAUGUGUCUCAUUGUGUUGCUGUAAUUGUAUGUUUUUUAUUCAAAUCACUUAAUAUAUAUUCACCAAAACUAAAAGCAUUGCCUCCUGUUUUUUUCACACCUCAGGAUCCUUAAAAGCCACUCUUCUGAUGCUGCUUUUGUAGCCGCAGUUAGCUGCUUAGCCCAUAACUGUUACAGUAGCAUCUGAUGUAAAGCAAAUAGUGAACCCAUCCCUUUUAGCAGGUGUCUUCCCCCAGGAUUUUAAAACCUUUGGACCUCACUGCAGCAUUGAUUACUGUUAACAGUGCAUGAGGAUGCAAACAAUUAAUCAACUUAUGAUUAAUUAUUGAUGACUGGUUUAUUAGAUCAUUUUUUUUCCCAAUCAACUAACUAAUAACAUAUGCUUAGGCAUUCUUUCAGUAGUUUGGCCACUAUCCAGAAAAGUAUGUCGAUGGUCAUCCUUAAAUGGAGCCAGCUAUUUACACAAUAAAAAAGAUGGUGGAGCUAUACCAGAAUGGGAAAGAGAAUUAGUCAAGGAAUCUAAAACAAAAUAAAAAGUCGCUAGGCUUGAAUUUAAAAAGACCUUGGUAAAUGUAGAUCCAGAGGGAGCUGGUAACACAGUCUGGGUUCCGCAACAAGAAAAAAAGCAUUGUUACCACAAUGUUUACAUUUAGUUUGUGGAUCCUUACAAAAGAACUAGGACGUUUACCACAGGGAUUUACCACAGACACAUAAACUCAAUAAGACAGAAAUAAAGGAUAGAGACAAUCAACAAAGAAUUUUCAUAAUUUCAGUUCACAAUCCAUUUUAAAACAGACUCGUAGCUAGUGGAGGAAGGAUACAAGAGGGUGAUAUGCUUUCAUUUGAAUAUGUCAGUUAAAAGAUAUGCAGCUACAUUUUGGACAAUCAUUUUGGAUGUUGAUAAAGAGCAUCACAGUAAUCAGUUCUUGAGUUGACAAAAGCAUGCAAAACCUUAAGAAAUGCUUAACUUUAGCUAAAAACAUUGUGGUAAAAAUUUUGUUCCUAGACUAAUAAAUCAACUUGUAUGUUAGUCAAAGACUGCCAAAAAAUUACACCCAUAUUUGUUAGUGUCACAAAAUGUAAAAAAAAAUACAAAUAUUUACAUUUACUUUUGAACUUAAAACAGUGAAUACAUUAGAAAGUCUUAGAAAGGGAAGCAAAAUUAUCUCGGUUUAAUCAGGUAUUAUUCUUCUGUGUGCACCAUCUAAAGGCUCAUGGGUUUGAAGAGUCUCUGUAAUCUGAACACAAGAUGACUCAAAUUGAGAGAACAAGAAGCAGGAUUAAGUUGAAGCUACAAUGUGACAACAGAACCGUUUACACUUCCCUGCACAGCCGUCACAUUUUUUUUUUCUUUGUGAUUGUAAUUAUAGAUGGCCUGACAGGGCAAAAAUGCUUGUAAAAUGUCAUGAGAGGUUGGACUAAAUUUCACACUGUGGCACUGAUCAGCAUAAACACAAAAUCAGCAGUGCCACUCAAAGGCUCAUUUGGCAGAAGCCAUGAAGUUUGGGCCAAAGAUCAAAGACUUACUUUAUGCUUGUCUUUGAUUAAAAUCUGUUCCUGGAUAUAAAGAAUGACUGAGAAGGCAAAUAAUGACCACUUGAUGGCAAUUUGGAUUACAUGUCAAGAACUUACUGUAUUUUGCUCUGUCUGAUGUACAGUGUUUGCUUUUACAGAAUAUGCCCCAAAAGAUAUCCUGCUUUGAAAAGACCAUCUAAGACAAUAGAUUGACAUCUUUGUAGAAUUUGUUCAAGGCUUUUUGCAUGGACAUUUGGGAGUGUUUUAUACUUGCUGAUGAAAAUGUAAGACCAAUCAAGUAACCAGUAUCCACAAUUAUUAGGCAAGUGAGGAUUCACUGAUUAUGCAUAUUUUCCAACUCCAAGCCGUGUGAACAUAAAUUCUUAUUAGAUUACACUAUAUCAUGUCAUUUUAUUUGUGUAUUGACAGAAGGUGUAGCCUAGGGAGAUUAACACCCUAUGUCAAGGUGUGCAUAAACAUUAGAAAAUUUCUCCCAGUGGUGAAAUGGUAAUGUCAGUACUUUUCAAGAAGACCAUAAUUUUUUUCCAGGACAAUUCUUCAUUGAAUGCACUUACUUAGUGGCUAAUUAGUAACAGCCUAAAAUAGGGACUUAUAUGUCCGUGUUUCUUCAUCUAAUCUAAACCCUUUGAACACUUGCAGGCCCCUCCCAGAUUGGAAAUUUGCAUUGAAAUGAAACUUAAAUUGGAGUUUAGACAUAUUGGUCAGUGAUU
Xiphophorus couchianus (Monterrey platyfish) is the source of this 2690-nucleotide long non-coding RNA. RefSeq lists it as uncharacterized. The record is from RefSeq and is a predicted model, not a curated record. Lineage: Eukaryota; Metazoa; Chordata; Actinopteri; Cyprinodontiformes; Poeciliidae. The transcript has 3 exons.